ACUUAAUCUGUAGUUUUUUUCUUUGAAAACAAAUUUAGCUUAGCUCAAAAGCAAAUUGGAUGAUUCUGAUUUAAUUUCAAUCUGAUUUAUUCACGAAUUUAUUAAUUUUGGUCCAAUUUCUUGAUUCAAUUUCAAUUUUGAAUCGGUCCAUGGCCAGAUCAAUGCGAAGGUGAUUACAAGUUAUUGUCUCAUGUCAUAUGAGGAGAG
This 207-nucleotide unclassified non-coding RNA is filed under the name Hevea brasiliensis (rubber tree). Lineage: Eukaryota; Viridiplantae; Streptophyta; Magnoliopsida; Malpighiales; Euphorbiaceae. The record is from RNAcentral.